RNAcentral lists this ribosomal RNA (274 nucleotides) under uncultured bacterium. Its description in RNAcentral is "partial 16S ribosomal RNA". It matches the Rfam family "Bacterial small subunit ribosomal RNA", at positions 523 to 796 of the family's 1533-position model. The record is from RNAcentral.
AUACAGAGGGUGCGAGCGUUAAUCGGAAUUACUGGGCGUAAAGCGCGCGUAGGCGGCUUGGUCAGUCGGAUGUGAAAGCCCCGGGCUCAACCUGGGAAUGGCAUUCGAUACUGCCAGGCUAGAGGAUGGGAGAGGGAAGUGGAAUUUCCGGUGUAGCGGUGAAAUGCGUAGAUAUCGGAAGGAACACCAGUGGCGAAGGCGACUUCCUGGCCCAAUACUGACGCUGAGGUGCGAAAGCGUGGGGAGCGAACAGGAUUAGAAACCCCAGUAGUCC